Non-coding RNA from Mycena leptocephala, 90 nucleotides. NCBI's taxonomy places the organism in Eukaryota, Fungi, Basidiomycota, Agaricomycetes, Agaricales, Mycenaceae. The record is from the annotation of a GenBank genome assembly.
GCACUGAUGGUGUAUUGUACACCCGCUGGUAUAAUAAGUUCGUUCGAAUGGUUACAUCGGCGGUCUGGGGUUCAAUUCCCCGUCGGUGCA